This 392-nucleotide ribosomal RNA is filed under the name uncultured bacterium. Its description in RNAcentral is "partial 16S ribosomal RNA". It matches the Rfam family "Bacterial small subunit ribosomal RNA", at positions 523 to 918 of the family's 1533-position model. The record is from RNAcentral.
AUACGGGGGAUCCGAGCGUUAUCCGGAUUUAUUGGGUUUAAAGGGUGCGCAGGCGGCCAUUUAAGUCAGCGGCUAAAUCGUGGGGCUCAACCCCAUUCUGCCGUUGAUACUGGGUGGCUUGAUUGCGGUCGAGGUUGGCGGAAUUCGUUGUGUAGCGGUGAAAUGCAUAGAUAUGACGAAGAACACCGAUUGCGUAGGCAGCUGACCAGACCGCAAAUGACGCUCAUGCACGAAAGUGCGGGGAUCGAACAGGAUUAGAUACCCUGGUAGUCCGCACAGUAAACGAUGAAUACUUGUUUUCGGCGAUAUAAUGUCGGAGGCAAAGCGAAAGCGAUAAGUAUUCCACCUGGGGAGUACGCCGGCAACGGUGAAACUCAAAUGAAUUGGCGGGG